CCGAUCUUAGCUCAGUUGGAAGAGCGUGAGACUGUAAUCGGUUACCCACAACUUGGAAUUUAAAAUCUCAAGGUCACUUGUUCGAACCAUGUAGAUCGGA
Molecule: non-coding RNA, 100 nt
Organism: Macrolepiota fuliginosa MF-IS2
Lineage: Eukaryota; Fungi; Basidiomycota; Agaricomycetes; Agaricales; Agaricaceae
Source: the annotation of a GenBank genome assembly